GCCCAUGUGUAACCUCCAUCCCUGCCAC
Molecule: non-coding RNA, 28 nt
Filed under: Homo sapiens (human)
Lineage: Eukaryota; Metazoa; Chordata; Mammalia; Primates; Hominidae
Source: RNAcentral